GCGCUCAGCCCCGCCCCUGGCUCUGCCCCCGCCGCGGAGCGGAACCCUCCAAGUCGCGGCCUGAGGAGGAAGGAAAAGGGGGCGGCCCGGGAGAGCCGCUGCGAAAUCAGCAACGGGCGGGAACCAGGUUGCCUCCCUGAGUCCCUUCUCUCCCCGGCCGGCUGCCAACCACAGCCAAGGCCAGAGAAACAGGCCCUUCUGCCGCGGCCACCUGGGCGCCUUGGACCCGCCCUCCGGACUCGCCCCCGCCCCUGCCGCGGAGUGGAACGUUUGGAACCCUGAGGGGCACAGAUGGCGUCUCUCUCUGUUGCCCAGACUGGAGUACAAUGGUGUGAUUUCGGCUUACUGCAACCUCUGCCUCCCAGGAUCAAGCGAUUAUCCUGCCUCAGCCUCCUGAGUAGCUGGGACUACAGCUCCUCUAGCAAUUCCGAUGUGAAAAGAAGAUGGAUGGAGAAGCACUGAUUCAGCCAUGGCUGACAUGUCGGAGUUGGAAUGGACAGUGCCCGGACCUCACAGUCUCAGAGAACUGGAGAAGAGUAAAGCUGAAGAGGGCAUCAUCUGGUUACAAAUGACAAGUCCAGGGCUCCAGCUUCUUCGGCUCCUUGGCCAUGUGUGUACUUUAUGAUGAAGCGCCCAGCUUCUGCAGGAUAUCCAUACUGCCAAGGUCAAAAGCAACAAUAAGCGACGUGGGGCUCAGUCUGUUCUCGUGGGCUACAAUGCAUGCUUCUGGUUUCCAGGUUGUUCUUGCUCUCCCUUAUUUUACAUUUAUCCUUCCUUCCCAACUGCCUGUCCGAUAGAUGUCGAGUCCCAACAUCAGAUGUGAAGAUGAGAGCUUUAUAGAGACUGCUUAACCAGCUCCCACAGUUGUAUUAGGACAAAUCCCUGUAGCAAAUCCCUUUGUGUGUGUGUGUGUGUGUGUGUGUGUGUGUAUGUGUGUGUGUGUGCGCGCGCACGCGCGUGCACGCACCUUAGUGGUUCUCCUGUGAUUGAAUCCUGACUUACACAGUUUGAGAUAGAAACCUUCUGAAGCAAUUAGAUUAAAUGGUCUAUAACUGUGCUGUCCAACAUGGUAGCCAUUAGCUACAUGUGGCUAUUUAAAUUUAAAUUAAUUAAAGUUAAACAUAAUUAGAAUUUAGUACCCCAGUCAAGUUUCAAGUGCUCAAUACUGUGGUCACAUGUGGCUGGUGGCCACUGUUUUGGGCAGCACAGAUAUAGAGCACUUCCGUUAUUGCAAAAAAAUGUUCUAUGAGCACUGGUCUAUAGUGAUAAUUACUAGUAUUUACUGAGUUCUCACCAUGUGUCAGAUGCAGAUUCCAAGUUUGCUCUGGAGAGCACGAUGCGGCAGGCAAACGGGGAAAGAGAGAGAGUGAUGGGAAUCAGGUGGGAGAUUUUUUUUUUUUUUUUUGAGAUGGAGUCUCUCUCACUCUGUCACCCAGGCUGGAGUGCAGUGGCACAAUAUCGGAUCACUGCAACCUCCGCCUCCCAGGUUCAAGUGAUUCUCCUGCCUCAGUCUCCCAAGUAGCCAGGAUUACAGACUUGUACCACCACGCCUGGCUAAGUUUUGUAUUUUUAGUAGAGACAGGGUUUCACCAUGUUGGCCAGGCUGGUCUCGAACCCCUGACCUCAGGUGAUCCACCCUCCUUGACCUUCCAAAGUGCUGAGAUUACAGGUGUGAGCCAUUGCACCUGGCCAGGUGGGAGAUUUUUAAUGACCAGGCCUGGAGGUGGCACACAUCACUUAUACCCACAUCCAUUGGCCAGCACUCAGUUACACGGCCACUUCUAACUACAAGGGAGGUUGGGAAAUGUAGCCUAGCUGUGUGCUGAGGAAGAAAAAGUAAAAGCUUUGGUGCCAGCCAGUCUCUGCCACAUCAGAUUUAAUUUGAGCGCUGUGAAGUAAUUAAUGCCCAUUAAACUAAGGGUGGGACAAGAUUAAUGCUAAAAUCACUCUCCCCAGCCACCAUUUUCUCUCUUGUUCUUUGUCAUGAUAUUGACAAGGUCAAAAGUCAGGCAGUCAGCAUGAACCCGAGGAGGAGAAGUCCUUGCCACUUUGAGGCUGAAUAUGAACAGCCCCUUCUUUAUGACUCACCCUAUCAGCUUUGCUCCUAGCGAAUGUUCAUAUCGUGGUUCUCCGGGACCCUUGAAAGUGGGACUCCUAUGUGAGGAACUAGUUCUAUAAACAACUACAUGCUAGUAAAAAACCAUUAAGAGGGUUGGAAUUAGGCAUAGUCCUGCUGCAUAGAAAUCCUACUUAGUUGGAAAAAUUGUAUUUUUAAGUUGCCUCUGUUUUGAAGCCACGUUAACCCUUAACCUUCAGAAAAUCCUUAGCCAGCCUUUAUACAUUGGUAGCUCCUGUUCUAAUAAUGUCUUCUCCUCCUAUUUUCUUUGGCUUGUCAUGAGCUUUGAAAGUUUGAUCUGAGAUCCCUCACUUUUAAUAAUCUGUAACUCUGAUUUGGUAAUCUCCUACAUAUGAAUAAAAUGUCUGUGUUCAUUUAUUUCUAAUGAAUAAAUGAACAUGCCUGCUGAGCCAAGCCUUAAAUGUGAUUAAGGAGACUGACUUGGGUUCAGAUCCUGGCUCUGCCUUGAGUAAGUUUCUAACAUUCCUCUGCUUGUAUUUCCUUAUCUGUAAAAUGGGAGUGAUUUCUUUGAAUGAAAUUAUAUUACAUUUAUCAAGCAUUUUAUCACAGUUUCAACAAUAAGGUGUAAUUAUUAUUAAUUCAGACUAUAUGAUUCUGUGCCCUUGGAUAAAGUUUACCAUUAUAUAAUAAACUACUUUUCUCACUUAAUGCAAACAAUGUGGUAUCAGUAAUUUGUAGAGGGCAUUUUAAAAAAUCAUGAAGAUGGUUUCUUCCAGGAUUUACAUGCAUGAGAUUUCCAUUCUGACUAUAAAACAUUCUUAUUUAUUCACUAACACUAGGUUAGUGAGAAUGUCUGUUAGAACACUGUGCUCAUCUAAUUCAAGUUUCCAUAGUUUAGGAUCAUCAUAGGAAGGCACCUCCUACAAAGAUCAUGGGGUUCCAUCCCUUCGUAUUACACAUCA
RNAcentral lists this long non-coding RNA (3039 nucleotides) under Homo sapiens (human). RNAcentral describes it as "HSALNT0407097". Lineage: Eukaryota; Metazoa; Chordata; Mammalia; Primates; Hominidae. The record is from RNAcentral.